UCUUCCGGGUAACUCCCAGUCGCAGCCAGUGGAAAGAUGGGGCCCGGUGUGACUCCGGUGGCUUCCUCAGGAGAGGAGAAAAUGUUUCAAUCUAACGGAGGCCCCGGUAACUUACCGAAACACUCCUACUGGGUGGAUCUGUGGGUGUUUCUGCUUUUUGACAUCGCUUUGUUUCUCUUCGUAUAUUUCAUCGUCCCGUAAAAAGGAUCGACCCUUUGACUGGCUGCUCAUCCCCUGCUGUGCUGUGAGAAGGCUAACCCAGCUUUAACUGAAUGUAACCAUGCAGCAGCUUUCCUCAGCUCCGUCCAAAGAUCCUCACCUUUCACGGACUUCAGCAAGAAGCUCUUCAAUAACUAAUCGGACGGAUUCCCUGUCGUCUCUGGCAGAUGAUAGUUUGAAGUAUUUUUUUUUUGUUUUUGCUGAGAUCCUUAAAACAUCUCAACUGACUUUUAUCCCCGAGACUCAGCAAACGUGUCUGCAGAUUACUUAAGAUACUUCUGGUAUCACUGUAAAUGUUAUAUAAUCUCUAAUUUUGUGUGUCUUUUUUUCCGGAAAGAACAGAUAACUUUCAGGAAAUGUAUGUUUUUUUUUUUGUCAUAUAUAUGUAACUGGUGUUGGGACCAAUGAUGAAACGAGCGCAAGAACAUUUUAUUUAUUGAAAACUAUGUUGAUGCGGAGGAAACUCUAAGCAAACUCUUGGCAAUUUGCACACAGAUAACUCAUGAACGAAUAAAAUGUUCUACCAACUAAAA
This is a long non-coding RNA of Xiphophorus maculatus (southern platyfish), 752 nucleotides long. RefSeq lists it as uncharacterized. NCBI's taxonomy places the organism in Eukaryota, Metazoa, Chordata, Actinopteri, Cyprinodontiformes, Poeciliidae. The transcript has 2 exons. The record is from RefSeq and is a predicted model, not a curated record.